Molecule: long non-coding RNA, 425 nt
Organism: Sinocyclocheilus grahami
Lineage: Eukaryota; Metazoa; Chordata; Actinopteri; Cypriniformes; Cyprinidae
Exons: 3
Source: RefSeq, a predicted model, not a curated record
UUAUGUCCUGUCUCUCUAUCAGCUCGGUGUUCUAGUUCUUGUCCAGCCUGUCUUGGAUCGUUCCGCAAUCCUCGGAUUCCUGCACUGGAUCGGAGAUCCCUCACUGUCACUAGAGCAUGCUGUCUGAUGUCCGCUGAGGCUCAUGAUUGCGGUCUUUUCCAGCUGUUCUCUCUGCAUUGUAACCCCAAAAUCGGAGGGGGCUAAAAGGAAAGGGAUGUUGUUCCAGGAAUAUGUUCUACUUGUGCAAAUCACAUUAAGCCCAAAGCACACCCGGAACACAUCUGCACAUGGCUUGGCCAAAAUAUGUUUUCUUUCUUCACCUACUUCAUGAGCACACCAACAAACUUCCAAUUGAAGAAAGAGAGGCAGAAGAACACCAUCAAUAAAUCUAAAGACAGCUGAUACUGAAAUGUUUCAGAGAUGCC